RNAcentral lists this ribosomal RNA (253 nucleotides) under uncultured bacterium. RNAcentral describes it as "partial 16S ribosomal RNA". It matches the Rfam family "Bacterial small subunit ribosomal RNA", at positions 524 to 776 of the family's 1533-position model. The record is from RNAcentral.
UACGUAGGGUGCAAGCGUUGUCCGGAUUUAUUGGGCGUAAAGAGCUCGUCGGCGGUCUGUCGCGUCGGAUGUGAAAACCCGGGGCUCAACCCCGGGCCUGCAUUCGAUACGGGCAGACUAGAGUUCGGUAGGGGAGUCUGGAAUUCCUGGUGUAGCGGUGAAAUGCGCAGAUAUCAGGAGGAACACCGGUGGCGAAGGCGGGACUCUGGGCCGAUACUGACGCUGAGGAGCGAAAGCGUGGGGAGCAAACAGG